RNAcentral lists this ribosomal RNA (865 nucleotides) under Leptodontidiaceae sp. RNAcentral describes it as "SSU rRNA". It matches the Rfam family "Eukaryotic small subunit ribosomal RNA", at positions 74 to 949 of the family's 1831-position model. The record is from RNAcentral. Lineage: Eukaryota; Fungi; Ascomycota; Leotiomycetes; Helotiales; Leptodontidiaceae.
CUAUACGGUGAACUGCGAAUGGCUCAUUAAAUCAGUUAUCGUUUAUUUGAUAGUACCUUACUACUUGGAUAACCGUGGUAAUUCUAGAGCUAAUACAUGCUAAAAACCUCGACUUCGGAAGGGGUGUAUUUAUUAGAUAAAAAACCAAUGCCCUUCGGGGCUCCUUGGUGAUUCAUAAUAACUUAACGAAUCGCAUGGCCUUGUGCCGGCGAUGGUUCAUUCAAAUUUCUGCCCUAUCAACUUUCGAUGGUAGGAUAGUGGCCUACCAUGGUUUCAACGGGUAACGGGGAAUUAGGGUUCUAUUCCGGAGAGGGAGCCUGAGAAACGGCUACCACAUCCAAGGAAGGCAGCAGGCGCGCAAAUUACCCAAUCCCGACACGGGGAGGUAGUGACAAUAAAUACUGAUACAGGGCUCUUUUGGGUCUUGUAAUUGGAAUGAGUACAAUUUAAAUCCCUUAACGAGGAACAAUUGGAGGGCAAGUCUGGUGCCAGCAGCCGCGGUAAUUCCAGCUCCAAUAGCGUAUAUUAAAGUUGUUGCAGUUAAAAAGCUCGUAGUUGAACCUUGGGCCUGGCUGGCCGGUCCGCCUCACCGCGUGCACUGGUCCGGCCGGGCCUUUCCUUCUGGGGAGCCGCAUGCCCUUCACUGGGUGUGUCGGGGAACCAGGACUUUUACUUUGAAAAAAUUAGAGUGUUCAAAGCAGGCCUAUGCUCGAAUACAUUAGCAUGGAAUAAUAGAAUAGGACGUGUGGUUCUAUUUUGUUGGUUUCUAGGACCGCCGUAAUGAUUAAUAGGGAUAGUCGGGGGCAUCAGUAUUCAAUUGUCAGAGGUGAAAUUCUUGGAUUUAUUGAAGACUAACUACUGCGAA